RNAcentral lists this ribosomal RNA (487 nucleotides) under uncultured bacterium. RNAcentral's name for it is "partial 16S ribosomal RNA". It matches the Rfam family "Bacterial small subunit ribosomal RNA", at positions 355 to 834 of the family's 1533-position model. The record is from RNAcentral.
UAGGGAAUCUUCCACAAUGGACGCAAGUCUGAUGGAGCAACGCCGCGUGAGUGAAGAAGGUUUUCGGAUCGUAAAGCUCUGUUGUUGGUGAAGAAGGAUAGAGGCAGUAACUGGUCUUUAUUUGACGGUAAUCAACCAGAAAGUCACGGCUAACUACGUGCCAGCAGCCGCGGUAAUACGUAGGUGGCAAGCGUUGUCCGGAUUUAUUGGGCGUAAAGCGAGCGCAGGCGGAAUGAUAAGUCUGAUGUGAAAGCCCACGGCUCAACCGUGGAACUGCAUCGGAAACUGUCAUUCUUGAGUGCAGAAGAGGAGAGUGGAACUCCAUGUGUAGCGGUGGAAUGCGUAGAUAUAUGGAAGAACACCAGUGGCGAAGGCGGCUCUCUGGUCUGCAACUGACGCUGAGGCUCGAAAGCAUGGGUAGCGAACAGGAUUAGAUACCCUGGUAGUCCAUGCCGUAAACGAUGAGCGCUAGGUGUUGGGGCACUUU